RNAcentral lists this ribosomal RNA (20 nucleotides) under Phanerochaete sp. KAO31. RNAcentral's name for it is "partial 18S ribosomal RNA". The record is from RNAcentral. Lineage: Eukaryota; Fungi; Basidiomycota; Agaricomycetes; Polyporales; Phanerochaetaceae.
AGGACUGCGGAAGGACAUUA